GAGUUUGAUCUUGGCUCAGAUUGAACGCUGGCGGCAUGCCUUACACAUGCAAGUCGAACGGCAGCACGGGAGCUUGCUCCUGGUGGCGAGUGGCGAACGGGUGAGUAAUGCAUCGGAACGUAUCCUGGAGUGGGGGAUAACGUAGCGAAAGUUACGCUAAUACCGCAUAUUCUGUGAGCAGGAAAGCGGGGGACCUUCGGGCCUCGCGCUCUUGGAGCGACCGAUGUCGGAUUAGCUAGUUGGUGAGGUAAAGGCUCACCAAGGCGACGAUCCGUAGCAGGUCUGAGAGGAUGAUCCGCCACACUGGAACUGAGACACGGUCCAGACUCCUACGGGAGGCAGCAGUGGGGAAUUUUGGACAAUGGGGGCAACCCUGAUCCAGCCAUGCCGCGUGAGUGAAGAAGGCC
This 407-nucleotide ribosomal RNA is filed under the name bacterium enrichment culture clone ALO1_GLFRUDD03G6R21. RNAcentral's name for it is "bacterial SSU rRNA". It matches the Rfam family "Bacterial small subunit ribosomal RNA", at positions 9 to 416 of the family's 1533-position model. The record is from RNAcentral.